AGGACGAACGCUGGCGGCGUGCUUAACACAUGCAAGUCGAGCGGAAAGGCCCUUCGGGGUACUCGAGCGGCGAACGGGUGAGUAACACGUGAGUAACCUGCCCUGGACUUUGGGAUAACCCUCGGAAACGGGGGCUAAUACCGAAUAUGACUUCUGCCCGCAUGGGUGGUGGUGGAAAGUUUUUCGGUCUGGGAUGGGCUCGCGGCCUAUCAGCUUGUUGGUGGGGUGAUGGCCUACCAAGGCGACGACGGGU
RNAcentral lists this ribosomal RNA (253 nucleotides) under uncultured bacterium. RNAcentral describes it as "partial small subunit ribosomal RNA". It matches the Rfam family "Bacterial small subunit ribosomal RNA", at positions 26 to 284 of the family's 1533-position model. The record is from RNAcentral.